CGCGAAGGCAAGCGGAUCUCUUAAAGCNGUUCUCAGUUCGGACUGCAGUCUGCAACUCGACUGCACGAAGCUGGAAUCGCUAGUAAUCGCGGAUCAGCACGCCGCGGUGAAUACGUUCCCGGGCCUUGUACACACCGCCCGUCACACCAUGGAAGUCUGCAAUGCCCGAAGCCGGUGGCCUAACCACUUAUGUGGAAGGAGCCGUCUAAGGCAGGGCAGAUGACUGGGGUGAAGUCGUAACAAGGUAGC
Molecule: ribosomal RNA, 249 nt
Filed under: uncultured bacterium
Lineage: Bacteria
Description: partial 16S ribosomal RNA
Rfam family: Bacterial small subunit ribosomal RNA
Source: RNAcentral